UACAGAGGUCUCAACCGUUGUUCGGAUUCAUUGGGCGUAAAGGGUGCGUAGGCGGUCUGGCAAGUCGGAUGUGAAAUCUCAGGGCUCAACCCUGAAACUGCAUUCGAUACUGCUAGGCUUGAGUACUGGAGGGGAGACUGGAAUUUACGGUGUAGCAGUGAAAUGCGUAGAUAUCGUAAGGAAGACCAGUGGCGAAGGCGAGUCUCUGGACAGUUACUGACGCUGAGGCACGAAGGCCAGGGGAGCAAACGGG
This 253-nucleotide ribosomal RNA is filed under the name uncultured bacterium. RNAcentral's name for it is "partial 16S ribosomal RNA". It matches the Rfam family "Bacterial small subunit ribosomal RNA", at positions 524 to 776 of the family's 1533-position model. RNAcentral also lists the same sequence under 1 other name. The record is from RNAcentral.